RNAcentral lists this ribosomal RNA (774 nucleotides) under uncultured Neocallimastigales. RNAcentral's name for it is "partial large subunit ribosomal RNA". It matches the Rfam family "Eukaryotic large subunit ribosomal RNA", at positions 22 to 644 of the family's 3401-position model. The record is from RNAcentral. Lineage: Eukaryota; Fungi; Neocallimastigomycota; Neocallimastigomycetes; Neocallimastigales.
GUACACGGUGUGACUAGCAUAUCAAUAAGCGGAGGAAAAGAAACUAACAAGGAUUCCCCUAGUAACGGCGAGUGAAGCGGGAAGAGCUCAAAUUUGAAAUCUUAAAGGGUUUCCCUUUACGAAUUGUAGUUUAAAGAAGUGUUUUCUGUUGAGGUUUUGGUAAAAGUUCUUUGGAAUAGGACAUCAUAGAGGGUGAGAAUCCCGUAUUUGACCUUUACUUUCAACUUUGUGAUACACUUUCAAAGAGUCGGAUUGUUUGGGAAUGCAGUCCAAAAUGGGUGGUAAAUUUCAUCUAAAGCUAAAUAUUGGCGAGAGACCGAUAGCGAACAAGUACCGUGAGGGAAAGAUGAAAAGAACUUUGAAAAGAGAGUUAAACAGUACGUGAAAUUGUCAAAAGGGAAGCGUUUGACACCAGUGUUGUUUUUCUGAAAAUCAAUUAAAGAACUGUUUAUGCUAAGCUGUUUAGACUUUAUCAGCUAUCUGUUUAGUUUUGAGCUUUUCUUUAAUGCACUUUUCAGUUAACAAGUCAACAUCAAUUUCUUUUGCUGUAAAAAAGCUUGAGGAAGGUGGCUUGAGAUUCGUCUUAAGUGUUUAUAGCCUCUUGCCUAUGCAGUCGGAGAGAUUGAGGUCUGCAGCGUAGAUCCUUCGGGGCUAAAUGCAUUUGUGCUAAGUUAUAGCAUUUUAUAGACAACUUGUUGACUAUGAUUUGUCUUGUAGCUUACUCGCUUAUGUUAUUUUACCUACGCUUAGGAUGUUGACUGAUAUGUAGUCGUA